Molecule: ribosomal RNA, 379 nt
Filed under: Pneumocystis sp. 'macacae'
Lineage: Eukaryota; Fungi; Ascomycota; Pneumocystomycetes; Pneumocystales; Pneumocystaceae
Description: partial large subunit ribosomal RNA
Rfam family: Bacterial large subunit ribosomal RNA
Source: RNAcentral
GUGUACGUUGCAAAGUACUCAGAAGAAUUGUGGUAAGAAGUGAAAUACAAAUCGGACUAGGAUAUAGCUGGUUUUCUGCGAAAAUUGUUUUGGCAAAUUGUUUAUUUUUUUUCAUUCAUUCAAAGAAUGAAUGUAUAAUAAUAAAAAUAGUGGGUAUAGCACUGAAUACUUUGGGGGAGUAUUAUUAUAUUUAUCUCGGGUAUUUAAUCUCAAAAUAACUAUUUAUUUAUAGGUAAAUAAUCAGACUAUUUGCGAUAAGGUAGAUAGUCAAAAGGGAAACAGCCCAAAACAGUUAUUAAAGCUCCAAAAUUAAUAUUUAAGUGAAAUAAAAGUUGGUGGUAGUCUUUUACAGGCAAUAAGUGGGCUUGGAAACAGCCAU